AAUAACCAAAUAUAACACUGGGGCUAAGGGUCAAAUUGGUAAUUUUUCUUACAUCUCCCCCCCCCCCGAACCUGUGUU
Molecule: non-coding RNA, 78 nt
Filed under: Triticum aestivum (bread wheat)
Lineage: Eukaryota; Viridiplantae; Streptophyta; Magnoliopsida; Poales; Poaceae
Description: lncRNA IsrR
Rfam family: Antisense RNA which regulates isiA expression
Source: RNAcentral